UAAAGUGGACUCGAUGCCCACUCCAAUUACAAAUGCUGAGAAACUCAUUUCGAGUGUCUUGGAAGCAGAACGCCCAACAAUAAGUAUUUUGCAUGAGAAAUCUCUGAUCGAGGCGAACAAGAUUUUCUUAGAGAAACAUAAAGAUUCCUUAAUGCACAGAGCGGCUGCUGCAUAACUACUGUAUGCUUUAC
Molecule: long non-coding RNA, 191 nt
Organism: Humulus lupulus (European hop)
Lineage: Eukaryota; Viridiplantae; Streptophyta; Magnoliopsida; Rosales; Cannabaceae
Exons: 3
Source: RefSeq, a predicted model, not a curated record